This 553-nucleotide ribosomal RNA is filed under the name uncultured archaeon. Its description in RNAcentral is "bacterial SSU rRNA". It matches the Rfam family "Archaeal small subunit ribosomal RNA", at positions 326 to 879 of the family's 1478-position model. The record is from RNAcentral.
CGGGGUGCAGCAGGCGCGAAAACUUUACAAUGCGGGAAACCGUGAUAAGGGGACACCGAGUGCCAGCAUCAUAUGCUGGCUGUCCAGGUGUGUAAAAUACACCUGUCAGCAAGGGCCGGGCAAGACCGGUGCCAGCCGCCGCGGUAACACCGGCGGCCCGAGUGGUGAUCGUGAUUAUUGGGUCUAAAGGGUCCGUAGCCGGUUUGGUCAGUCCUCCGGGAAAUCUGACGGCUCAACCGUUAGGCUUUCGGGGGAUACUGCCAGGCUUGGAACCGGGAGAGGUAAGAGGUACUACAGGGGUAGGAGUGAAAUCUUGUAAUCCCUGUGAGACCACCUGUGGCGAAGGCGUCUUACCAGAACGGGUUCGACGGUGAGGGACGAAAGCUGGGGGCACGAACCGGAUUAGAUACCCGGGUAGUCCCAGCCGUAAACGAUGCUCGCUAGGUGUCAGGCAUGGCGCGACCGUGUCUGGUGCCGCAGGGAAGCCGUGAAGCGAGCCACCUGGGAAGUACGGCCGCAAGGCUGAAACUUAAAGGAAUUGGCGGGGGAGCAC